UACGAAGGGGGCUAGCGUUGCUCGGAAUCACUGGGCGUAAAGGGUGCGUAGGCGGGUCUUUAAGUCAGGGGUGAAAUCCUGGAGCUCAACUCCAGAACUGCCUUUGAUACUGAGGAUCUUGAGUCCGGGAGAGGUGAGUGGAACUGCGAGUGUAGAGGUGAAAUUCGUAGAUAUUCGCAAGAACACCAGUGGCGAAGGCGGCUCACUGGCCCGGUACUGACGCUGAUGCGCGAAAGCCAGGGGAGCGAACGGG
This 253-nucleotide ribosomal RNA is filed under the name uncultured bacterium. Its description in RNAcentral is "partial 16S ribosomal RNA". It matches the Rfam family "Bacterial small subunit ribosomal RNA", at positions 524 to 776 of the family's 1533-position model. The record is from RNAcentral.